Molecule: ribosomal RNA, 448 nt
Filed under: uncultured soil bacterium
Lineage: Bacteria
Description: bacterial SSU rRNA
Rfam family: Bacterial small subunit ribosomal RNA
Source: RNAcentral
AGAACGAACGCUGGCGGCAGGCUUAACACAUGCAAGUCGAACGGGCGUAGCAAUACGUCAGUGGCAGACGGGUGAGUAACACGUGGGAACCUUCCUAGGGGUACGGAACAACUCAGGGAAACUUGAGCUAAUACCGUAUACGUCCGUAAGGAGAAAGAUUCAUCGCCCCUAGACGGGCCCGCGUCGGAUUAGGUAGUUGGUGGGGUAACGGCCUACCAAGCCUACGAUCCGUAGCUGAUCUGAGAGGAUGAUCAGCCACACUGGGACUGAGACACGGCCCAGACUCCUACGGGAGGCAGCAGUGGGGAAUCUUGGACAAUGGGCGCAAGCCUGAUCCAGCCAUGCCGCGUGAGUGAAGAAGGCCUUAGGGUUGUAAAGCUCUUUUACCAGGACGAUAAUGACGGUACCUGGAGAAUAAGCCCCGGCAAACUUCGUGCCAGCAAGCCGC